AGCAGCCGCGGUAAUUCCAGCUCCAAUAGCGUAUAUUAAAGUUGUUGCAGUUAAAAAGCUCGUAGUUGAAUUUCGGGGUCAGUAAGUUGGUCGUGCCACUGGUAUGUACUGGCUUUACUGAUUCCUCCUUCUUGUAGAACCGUAAUGCCAUUAAGUUGGUGUUGCGGGAAAACAGGACUGUUACUUUGAAAAAAUUAGAGUGUUUAAAGCAAGCUAACGCUUGAAUACAUUAGCAUGGAAUAAUGAAAUAGGACGAACGAUCCUAUUUUGUUGGUUUCUAGGAUUGACGUAAUGAUUAAUAGGGGUAGUUGGGGGCCAUUAGUAUUCAAUUGUCAGAGGUGAAAUUCUUGGAUUUAUUGAAGACUAACUACUGCGAAAGCAUUUGCCAAGGAUGUUUUCAUUAAUCAAGAACGAAAGUUGAGGGA
Molecule: ribosomal RNA, 425 nt
Filed under: uncultured Glomus
Lineage: Eukaryota; Fungi; Glomeromycota; Glomeromycetes; Glomerales; Glomeraceae
Description: SSU rRNA
Rfam family: Eukaryotic small subunit ribosomal RNA
Source: RNAcentral